RNAcentral lists this transfer RNA (85 nucleotides) under Rhodocyclaceae bacterium. RNAcentral's name for it is "tRNA-Leu". It matches the Rfam family "tRNA". From Rfam's summary of the family: Transfer RNA (tRNA) molecules are approximately 80 nucleotides in length. Their secondary structure includes four short double-helical elements and three loops (D, anti-codon, and T loops). The record is from RNAcentral. RNAcentral also lists the same sequence under 1 other name. Lineage: Bacteria; Pseudomonadati; Pseudomonadota; Betaproteobacteria; Rhodocyclales; Rhodocyclaceae.
GCCCGGAUGGUGAAAUCGGUAGACACAAGGGACUUAAAAUCCCUCGCCGCGAGGCAUGCGGGUUCGAUUCCCGCUCCGGGCACCA